UGGUGGAGUGAUUUGUCUGCUUAAUUGCGUUAACGAACGAGACCUUAACCUGCUAAAUAGUCGCGCCUAUCUUCGGAUGAGCGCAUGACUUCUUAGAGGGACUCUGUGCAUCUAGUACAGGGAAGUUUGAGGCAACAACA
This 140-nucleotide ribosomal RNA is filed under the name uncultured eukaryote. Its description in RNAcentral is "partial 18S ribosomal RNA". It matches the Rfam family "Eukaryotic small subunit ribosomal RNA", at positions 1299 to 1458 of the family's 1831-position model. The record is from RNAcentral.